GGAUGAAGACUCCAAAGCCAGGCAUUCCUAAACUGAUGAUCAAAGAAGUGCUUUGCAUCGGGCUUGAGAAAACAUCGUACUGUUCUACUUACUGUAAGAACAGAAAGUCUUACUGUCUAAGAACCUGAAUAGAAGGAGAUGCCUUCAGUAUCGGGUGUUAUUUUUGAGAAGCUGGUCAAGGAAGGGGAGAAGAUGGUUGAUUAAGGGGUGAUGGUGACAAUUAUUUUGUAACUGGUAGAAGGCCAGAUGUUUAUGUAAAAGUUGAGAGUUUUGAUGGAGUAUCAUGAGCAUGUUUCUGAGCUUAAUGUCAAAUAUACAGAGAUUCCCUAAAAUCACUGCUUAAGUUACAUGGGUCUUGCGGUGUUUGGAAAGAGCAAACUUUGUAAGUAUAAUUGUAAAAAUAAUAUCAAACAGAAAAAGAGAAGGGAAAACUUAACAACUCUCUCAAAUCGCUGUUAUUCUUGAAUCAUCUAAAAGUGGUACACGUGACUGGCACCAAUAUCCAUCGAAGAGUAAAUCACUGCACAGGUGAGGAAGGAGACCCCGGCAUCUGGGAUCGACUUCCGCUUUGACUGCCACACUGCAUUUCAAUAGAAGAAAAGGCUGACUGGUGCCUCGGAUUCACCUUCCUGUCGGUGGUGGGCUUGGUCUGGGGGAAACUCUCCCGAAGACACUGUUUUUACUUAAAACAAGAUCAAACCCGAAACCUUUUCACAUGUGAGUCCUAAAACUAUAAACCGAAACCCUUUCACGUGUGAUUCCUGAAGCUGUAAACCGAAGCCGUUUUCAUAUGUGAUUUCUAAGGCUAAACCCAGGAUUCUUCCACGUGUAAUAUCUAAAGUAUAAGCCUAUAUAAAGGCAGAACCUUCCUUUGUUAGAUGAGCUGAAUUUGGACAAAUUAUUUCUCAGCUCCCAGCUGUAAUAAAGACUUCUUCCUUCUCCAUUCGGUGUUCGGGAGCUCUGUUUCUCGCUGCCGCUCCUGCUACACGAGGAGACUUGAUCUUCCUUUCAUUGUAGGAUCUGGAGGAAAAAAGCUAUGAAAAGCAAAAGGUGGCAGAGAAUGCUGUUGUGGAAAUUACCCGACAUCACUGGAGAUAGAGAAUUUGCCCUGGCAAAAAGCACUCCUUUGGGAGAAGCAUGUGCACAUUCCAUUAGCAUGAAGCACCUGGUCAGCCAUAUGAAAAAGUCUGGAUUUUGUUAUAAAUGUGAAAUUUAUCUUAAAUGGAAGAUUUGAAGCAAGGGAGAAAUAUACCCUCAUGUAUCUUUAAAAAUCACUCUGGCAGCUGUGUGUGGGACAAACUCUAGGAGGACAAGAGGAGAUGUGGAAGGGAGAGGCAGCUAAGAUUCUAUCCCAGGAGGGCAAAGAUGUCGAAGCCCGGACUCAGAUGGUAAUGGCGGAGGUGUUAGAAACGGCUGGAUUCCACAUUUAUUUUGGAGGGUGAGCCCAUGGAAUUUGCUUAUUGCUGGGGUGUUCCAUAAAUAAGAGAAAAAGAGGGCUCGGCGAUGAUUCCUGGGUUUUUGACUUGGGCAACUAGAAGGAUAAGUCUCUGUUAACUGAUAUGGGGAAGUCUGAGGCAGAAGACGCUGUGUGUGCCAGGAGUGGUGUGUCUGUAUAUCAGUAAUUCUGCUUUUGACAUGUUGACUUGGAGAUGCUAAUGCACUCCAACUAAAAAGUAAGGAGGGAAGUGGACAUUCAACACAUGAUGCCAAGGGAGGCUUAAGAAGGGGCAAGAGGCCAAACCUGGGUGAGAAGAACAUAGGUAAAAAUAAAAGAUACGUGGAGGGAGAAAGCUAGGGAAACUGGGACUUACAAUAGUAGCAAUGUUGGCCAUUAACUGAGAAGUGUGGGGUUUUUUUGUUUUUGAGACAGUCUUGCUGUAUUGCCCAGGGUGGAGUGUAGUGGCAUAACUCAGCUCACUACAACCUCUGCCUCCUAGUUUCAAGCUAUUCUCAUGCCACAGCCUCCUUAGCAGCUGGGGUUACAGGUGCCUGCCAAUUUUUGUAUUUUACCUGGCUAUUUUUUGUAUUUUAAAUAGAGAUGGGGUUUCACCAUGUUGGCCAGGCUGGUCUCAUACUCCUGACCUUAGGUGAUCUGCCAGCCUCUGCCUCCCAAACUGCUGGGAUUACAGGCUUAAGCCACUAUGCCAAGUCUCAGAAAUAUAAUUAAAGUACAGGGAAAAUUAAAAGGGAGAAGAAAGUUCACAGAGAGAUAUCGCAGCAAAUGAUAAAUACAAAAGCCUGCCUUGUUUCCCAGACUCCCUGUGACUUAAGUGCUCUGUAUUUUACCUCCUAGUGGACCUCUCUUUUUCCUUUGUAAUGGUGUUCCAUGCAGCACAUGCUGCACACCAAUUCCAGAGCUUCCCUGCUCCUUGAGCCUAGGAAUAACUAUGCGUCUAUCUCUUCUUUAUUUGCUCCUCACGGGAGUAGCAACUGAUCACAUGAUUGGAAUAAGUAACCUGCUGUCAUUUUUGGUACCAGUUUUCCAUUUCUUCCUUAAGUAUAAAACGGACCCUCAGAGAGAAACUAACUGCCUAAAGCUACAGGUUCAGAGUAGAGCUCAGCUUUGCUUUUCCCUUUGCAGCUGUGCUCUGAGAGCUUUGAGGCAAUCUCACUGCAAUUUGACAUCAGUGACCGAGUAGGGAUGCUCAGGGAAUCUUUUGAGGCAUGAAGGAAACCUCACUUUCAGUUAAUGCUUAUAUGUGGCUGCUGAAGUUGUCUAACGUCCCUGGGGACAAAGUGUUUGCCCUAAAAAGGAACAUUACCUUGGCACAAAGCAUCUUGUUGGCUGGAAUUUAUUAUAAAUAUGACAGGAACACUUUUGGGCAAGUAAAUGGUGGUUGUCAAACCCAUAAAGAAGAAAAGGCCUCUCACAUGGCUGGGAGAGGUGGGAACAGAUGAAGCACUAAGCUGAGGUCUGGUGAAGUUAGGGAACAAGCCCAGUGUUUUUGGAGAGCGAUUCCUUCUUGAACCCCUAAAAGAUGCACCUGAAGCUUAACAGUAGGCUGAUUUCUGUAUUUAGAGUUGCAAACAACAUGUUCCUGGAAUACAGAGGAAGGCACCACUACUUCUAUCCUGAGAGUAUAUCACAAAGAAUGAGAUUUAAAUUUGGAUUUGAUGGAUGAGAGAUGAGUAGAGUUUGAUAGAAGAGAAGAGGGGAAUUGUCUGGAUGUACAAUGGCAGAAGUGGCAGGAAAGGCUGAAAAGAACUGGCUUCUGGGGAUGGGUUAGAGAUAAGGGCCUGGGCACCACAUUCUGGAGCUUGCAAUUGGGUAUGUAAAAGCUUAGACGGGAUGGUCUUUUCCUCUCCUCCUAUGGGUUCAUAGUGGGCUCACCUCACUCACUCCUGCUAAUAAGCUGCCCCUAUUUGAGAGAGAGCUGGAGUGGGGUCUCUAAGCCUCCAGCAACCGUUUAGGAGCCAGCCUUGAAGCCCUGGCAGCUAACUCUUCAUAUAGACCCCACAGUCCAUCCUAUCUUAGAAAGACAGUGCACUCAUGAGGAGGAUAACAUUCCCCACCCCGGACUCCAGAGGUUCCAAGGAGCCCCUCUCUCUCUCCAAGAAAAGAAAUAUUCAUUGAGCUGUGGGUGAAUGUGAAUGUGGUUUGGGACCAACGUGUGGCUGAGUGGCUUCAUCACUACCUUCAUACAGUUGUUCUAGAAGAUGGAUGGGGGUAGGGUGAUCAAGAUUUAGUAGAACCUCUACUUCCAGUGGGGUGGUGCUUGGUAGUUGACUCAUUUUGGUCCCAUUUGAUAUUUGCAGUCACCCAUUGGGGUAGGUGUGACUGUUGCUCCCAUUUCGCAGAUUACAACAGGAUAGUUUGCCAGAGGCCACAUGACUAGCUGGUGGGAGGGAAAGGGUGUCAAAUAAGAUUUUAACCCUAGAGCCUCACGUUUUAUUAGGAUCUUGCAGAGAGACCUUGGGCAAAUUCCUUUCCCUCUUGUGGUGGUGGGGGGUGGUCUCCAUUCUCUAUUUGUAAAUUAAAGAGGCCUGCCAGUUUGUGAUUCUCUGUACUUUAACGUUCAAACCUACACUUGGAUAGGUUUAUUUGUUUUUGAAAUGGGGAUUCUGGGACCCCAGUAUAUUUAAGUUCAGUAGGUCUGGGGUGAGGCUCAGUAAGCAGCUUUUAACGAAUCCGGGCAACAACAAAACUGCCUGAGAAACUCAGGCAAAGUUUAUGAUGCAUGAAAAUCCUAUUGUGAGCUGGUCAAGACACAGAUCGCUGAGCUUCAUUUGUAGAGAUCCUGUUUUGAUACCAAAGGAUGGACUGUGGCUUGGUAAUUUGUAUUUCUCAUAAGUAAGUCCCAACAGCUGGUCAACCGCCCUGCCUGACGCUCUGUGACCCUUCCCGGGCGUCCGCGGUGCUUCUUUACUUGCAUCUUGUGGGAAUGAGAUCUGCACCGGCAGCCUCCUUUUAGCACCACUCAGGGCAAGCGAGCUGCGCCCUUAAAAACCCCGCUCAGCCCGCGGUUUGCAAGUAUUCAGGGCAGGCGAAGGUGGGGUUGUUCGUUUGGUGUAGUACCGCGCGCUGCCAGCAGAUGGCGACAGAGAACGAGUUUACCGGAAUAGGGAGCGGCAAGGAGGCGGGGAAGAAAGCGGCGGGAGAUUGACAUCCAUUCAGGCCAAUGGUAGCUCAAUCUUCCGUUCCCCGACUCCCAAGCUUCCAAUUCUUUUAGGAGGCUGCGUUUGUGGCGCUAAAUGCAGGGAUGGGCGUGGGAGAUGCCGGGACAUGUGCUAGCUGAAGAUACACCUGUUAGGCCAAGAUUGCCCCCGCUCGUAGUGGCUUAACCUUCUUUGUAAAUUCACCUUCCUCUCAUUUAACUAAGGCUUCCUCACCUGUCUCUAGGCAAACCUACCUCCUGUCAUGCUGGGUUUGGAGUUUUUAAAUGCGUUGCGGGGUAAAGCCAGCGUUGCGCUUUUCGUUCUCUUGGCGGGUAUUUCUGGCGCUGACAGCGGGGAGCUGCCUGGCGGGAGUACCGGUGAAGAGAGAACAGGGUGAGAGAUAACAGGUGUGCAGCGUCCCUCAAUACCAGGCAUCGUGCUUUGGCAUCUACCAUAGGUUUGUCUCAAUCAUCUUUCUACUUAAUUCAUUUUCUGUUUUACAUAUUAGGAAACCUCAACUAAGUUGCCCAAGGACAGUCCUUGGAUAAUUCUAACUCAUAUCAGACGCCAAAGCCUAAGGUCUUUUAUUUUGCAGAGAUUGCUUUGGCAGGAUUUCAACACCUGCAGGUCCUGUGAAUCAGUCCUCCUCACUCACUGAUCCAUCCCCUGUCCACGCAUUCAUUCGCCCAUUCAUUUCUUAGGGCUCAUCUGCAAGGCGUGGGACUGGUUGCCACUAAAACAGAAAAGGGACUCUGCUGUAAAGUAGAAGAGAUUUUUAAAAAAAGAUUUACACAGAAUUCCUGAGCUCUGCAUAGUUUCAAUCUUUCCUCCAAAUAUACUACUGAUACCUAUUUUGUUCCACAUAAUUUGAUGGAUUCUGAAGAUACAGAGAUGGGUGAAAUCUAUCCUUGCCUUUCAGGAGUUCAUUGCCAUAGGCAAGAGUAAUCGCUGAGCUUUAAUCUUACAUACCUAAUUUUUAACAAAUUGAGCAUCAACUAUGUACAUAUAUAUUCUAUUGCAAUUAAUAUAUUAAAUAAUUAAAUAUUAGGCACACUUAACUUCCUAUUUUUAGAUGAAGAUUAAUCCAAAUGGUGGUUCAAGUAUGUCCUUUGUUCACCCUAGUGGACUCUCUUGAGUGAUUUCUGGAGUGCUUCCUCAGACUAGAACCCUACGCCCUUGGUAUGUGCUUGGCUCUCUUCCUUCUUUCUGCAGCUCUCUGUCAAAUGCCAGGCUUUUAGGGAGGCCUGUCCUGACCCCUUCCUGUUUCCUCUCCUUUUUAUCUGCUCCUGUCUCUUUUCCUAUUUAUUUGUUGUUUUUUCUCCCUCCAUCAUCUUCUGUCCCCGUAUCAUGUGUUGUUUUUCAUAUACUACAUCUCGCUUUAUAGGAAAUAUGUUUACUGUUUUUUUUAAUUUUUGGUUUAGUUUCUCUCUCCCUGCCCCAGAAUGUAAGCUUCGAGAGGGGAAGAGAGGAGUUCUUGGCACUCCUCACUGCCUGAGAAACGGUUGGGGAUGGAGGGAGAAAGCUUUGCCCAGUACAUCCUGAAAUUCCCUGGCGGUGGGAGUGGAGGGAAGAUGAGGAAAUGUCCAUUUAUUUUAUGAACUUGAAGUUGGGUUAAACCUUACUUUAUCCUGUGAUUUUGGUUGUUAAUCUCAACCCGAAAUUCUCAUCACUAGUCAUCCACUUCUUACUAGCUUUGUGACCUUGAAUGAAGGUUCAAGGUUACCAUCUUUCUUUGCACCUCAGUUUCCUUAUGUAUGAAAUUUAAAUUUGGACAGCCUAAAAUGUGGGGACAUAAGGCAUCAGUCCCAUAAGGGUAAAGAAAAAUAUUUGUGGAUUUAUAAGACUUCAGAAAUUAUAUUCUUGUGAGGGUUAAAGAAAGAUAUUUGUGGAUUUGGGAGUCUUCAGAUAUUAUAUCAUUAUAUCAGUAGCAUAUUUACAUGCAGAAAAUAUUGGAGAAAGAAUUUUAGCUAAUCAAAUAGGAACAGAGAUCUCAGAUAAAAAGGAGAGGAAACAGUGGUAGCAAAAAACUUCUGGCAAAUUUUACAUAGAGAGUUAAUUCUAAAUGUACAAUGAUAGGCUCUCUGGGAAUGUGCGAUAAAAAUUUUAAAGAAGGAUUCUUUAAAUAGAUGUGACACACUGCAAGGGAACUCCUAUGACAUCUGGAACUAAAACGCCUAGGGACUGGGCUCUGGGGGAUGAGGGGUAGAGGAAUAAAAACAUUUGGUCUUACUUAGCACAAUCAUCUGGAUGUGAGGAGGAAGCAGAAUGGGGAAAUGAAUCUAUUGGAAGAUACCUUAUUGCAGUACAGGAGGAAAUAGAGAAUAGCUGGUACUUUAUUUUAUAUGAUAGUGAAGAAACUUGUGUUCUGUUAUGAGCACUAGAAAUACUAGUGAUUGAAUAAAAAGUUAAUAAGGGAAUAUGAUGAAUGAGUGAGUUAGUAAGAGAACUUAAUGGGUAAGUGAACUAAUAAGAGUCCAUAGUCGAGGCAAUUCCCCCUUUUAAAAAACAUUAUCUUUUGAAUAUACACAGGAUAUACUUUUCAAAAGAAAAAAAUGUAUAUGGGAAAACAUUUUCACUCAUUCUCUAGACACUCAGUACUUUUCCAGAGAUAAUCUAUGACUAUACAAGCAUAAUAUUUCCUUUUCAAUAUAUUUUCCCAGCAACUAAGAAGUUCAGUAUUUGUAAUUGUAAUAAGAAGAGUGCUAAUCUGGCCUGAGAUGAAAAGUUUUACCUUAUAUGUCUCAUAAACAGUUUUUGUAAAUCAAGGAAUAUGCUUAUAAAGAGAUUACCAAGGCCCUACAAAACAUGAGUUUGGGGCCACAGGAAGAUUAAGAUUUAGAAUAAAGUUAGGUGAGAUCUAAGGUCAAAGGAUAGCAGGAGGGUUUGUGUGUGUGCCUGUGUAUAUGUGUGUUGGGUGGGGCAGGUGGGAGCCUUUGGAGAUUGCCUGUAGGCUGCUAGUGAGGUGUCACGUAGGCCUUGGUAGGCCCUUGGGAAGACACACGGUUCUGAAAGCUUGGCACUCCUAUAGGUUUUUAAAUAUUUGUGUUAUCCACAAGGGUGACGCUGGACAUCAUUACUAAAAUUUAAAAAUUUUGCCCCUGGCACACAGGUUACCCUUUUUGUGCUGGUAUGGCAAGGCUUGAUUUGCAAGAUUUUCUUCUGAAUUGUCCCCAAUUCUUCCCUUUAAAAAUAGGAGCUCCUUCAGGGUGAGGAAGGAAGGAGGAAAUCAUCCCUUCUAACCUUCUUUCUCUUCUUCAUUCUGAGGACUGUAGAAAAGCAGGCACACCACGUUUGGUUUAGAAAUCUGUGGGAUUUUAGUGCUGUCCAUUCUCCCGAGUGGAUGCCUUUAGUGAAGGUAAAAAGGAAAGACUGUUUGCUUUGUCAAGGGAAGAUUCAUAUGCAAAUCCCAAGAUUCAGAUGUUAUUUUAGAGGAGUUGGUGUCCAUUGUAAAUUAGAACUGCCCUGGUUCAUUUGCCCAAGGGGCAAGUAACUGAGGCAAAUAUGAGGGAACUGGCAGAAUAGGAGGGGUGGACUCUUCCGGAGAGAAAGAAUAAGGAGAAUUCCGGGUGCAGAGGGGAUCAAGGUGUGGACCAAGCACAUAUCUGUCUUCUUAGCUCCUGUGAAAUGUUGGAAAAGUCUUUAGAACAAACAAUAAAUACGUCAUAGCAGGAAAACAAAGGGCCGUCUUUGGGCCAGAAAUAGAAACCGCUAAAAAAAAAACACGCACCAGCCCUCCCCGGGUCAGUGCGGGAGCCUCUGGCUGCUGCCGGCGCUGGGCCUCCGCUCAGUCCUGACCUGCGGUGGGCGCGAUGGCGGGGGCUGUAUUGAGGGUCAGCCAGCGGCAGCUGAGCCAGCGCGGCAGAUGUUCUAGCCGGUGAGUUGCACCUACACGUACCUGCUGGGUGACAGAGAGUCCCGGGAUGCCGUUCUGAUCGACCCGGUCCUAGAGACAGCGCCUCGGGAUGCCCAGCUGAUCAAGGAACUGGGGCUGCGGCUGCUGUAUGCUGUGAAUACCCACUGCCACGCGGACCACAUUACAGGCUCUGGGCUACUCCAUUCCCUCCUCCCUGGCUGCCAGUCUGUCAUCUCCCGCCUUAGUGGGGCCCAGGCUGACUUGCACAUUGAGGAUGGAGACUCCAUCUGCUUCGGGAGCUUCGCCUUGGAGACCAGGGCCAGUCCUGGCCACACCCCAGGCUGUGUCACCUUCGUCCUGAAUGACCAAAGCAUGGCCUUCACUGGAGAUGCCCUGUUGAUCCGUGGGUGUGGACGGACAGACUUCCAGCAAGGCUGUGCCGAGACCUUGUACCACUCGGUCCAUGAAAAGAUCUUCACACUUCCAGGCAACUGUCUGGUCUACCCUGCUCAUGAUUACCAUGGGUUCACAGUGUCCACCGUGGAGGAGAGGACUCUGAACCCUCGGCUCACCUUCAGCUGUGAGGAGUUUGUCAAACUCAUGGACAACCUGAACUUGCCUAAACCUCAACAGAUAGACUUUGCUGUUCCUGCCAACAUGCGCUGUGGGGUGCAGACAUCCACUUCCUGAUCUGACCUCUGUCAGAUGCUCCUACCCAGAAUUAAUGCACUUGAUGGGAGAAGGGGGUGGCGAUGACACCGCACCUCUCCUUUCCCACCCCACUCUCCCAACCCCUGGAGCUUUCUAAAUAAAACUUUUUUU
Callithrix jacchus (white-tufted-ear marmoset) is the source of this 9271-nucleotide RNA transcript. It is a transcript of the gene named persulfide dioxygenase ETHE1, mitochondrial pseudogene, with no coding region annotated. NCBI's taxonomy places the organism in Eukaryota, Metazoa, Chordata, Mammalia, Primates, Cebidae. The record is from RefSeq and is a predicted model, not a curated record.